UUAGUUUAUGUUCUCUCAGCCUGCGCUUAAUUGCGCGGCGAGGAACAGACAACCUUACACACUGUGUUUUUGUUUUUUUGAAACAUUGCUUUGGCUUGGCUUAAUUGUCGGGCCAGAGACCAACCUAAACUUCAGAUUUAUUUUUGAAUUGUUUUUUAAUUUGUUUGUCAAUUUUGUUUGAUUAAUUUCAAAAUAAUCUUCAAAACUUUCAACAACGGAUCUCUUGGUUCUCGCAUCGAUGAAGAACGCAGCGAAAUGCGAUAAGUAAUAUGAAUUGCAGAUUUUCGUGAAUCAUCGAAUCUUUGAACGCACAUUGCGCCCUCUGGUAUUCCGGAGGGCAUGCCUGUUUGAGCGUCAUUUCUCUCUCAAACCGCAAGGUUUGGUAUUGAGUGAUACUCUUAGUCUGACUGGGCGUUUGCUUGAAAUGUAACGGCAGGAGUGUACUGGAUAGUACGAACUGGUUAUUCAAUGUAUUAGGUUUAUCCAACUCGUUGAAACGCUGGGGUAGUAAAUUUCUAGUAAUCUGGCUCGGCCUUAUAACAACAAACACAAGUUUGACCUCAAAUCAGGUAGGAUUACCC
Molecule: unclassified non-coding RNA, 581 nt
Filed under: Yamadazyma sp. CLIB 1610
Lineage: Eukaryota; Fungi; Ascomycota; Pichiomycetes; Serinales; Debaryomycetaceae
Description: sequence contains ITS1, 5.8S rRNA gene, ITS2
Rfam family: 5.8S ribosomal RNA (bases 204-357)
Source: RNAcentral